This 1321-nucleotide ribosomal RNA is filed under the name uncultured bacterium. RNAcentral describes it as "bacterial SSU rRNA". It matches the Rfam family "Archaeal small subunit ribosomal RNA", at positions 23 to 1351 of the family's 1478-position model. The record is from RNAcentral.
CCGACUGCUAUCAGAGUGGGACUAAGCCAUGCGAGUCGACAUAGCAAUAUGUGGCAUACGGCUCAGUAACACGUAGUCAACAUGCCCAGGGGACGUGGAUAACCUCGGGAAACUGAGGAUAAACCGCGAUAGGUCAUCACUUCUGGAAUGGGUAAUGACUUAAACCUAUAUGGCCCCUGGAUUGGACUGCGGCCGAUCAGGCUGUUGGUGAGGUAAUGGCCCACCAAACCUGUAACCGGUACGGGCUCUGAGAGGAGGAGCCCGGAGAUGGGCACUGAGACAAGGGCCCAGGCCCUAUGGGGCGCAGCAGGCGCGAAACCUCUGCAAUAGGCGAAAGCUUGACAGGGUUACUCUGAGUGAUUUCCGUUAAGGAGAUCUUUUGGCACCUCUAAAAAUGGUGUAGAAUAAGGGGUGGGCAAGUCUGGUGUCAGCCGCCGCGGUAAUACCAGCACCCCGAGUGGUCGGGACGUUUAUUGGGCCUAAAGCAUCCGUAGCCGGUUCUACAAGUCUUCCGUUAAAUCCACCUGCUUAACAGAUGGGCUGCGGAAGAUACUAUAGAGCUAGGAGGCGGGAGAGGCAAGCGGUACUCGAUGGGUAGGGGUAAAAUCCGUUGAUCCAUUGAAGACCACCAGUGGCGAAGGCGGCUUGCCAGAACGCGCUCGACGGUGAGGGAUGAAAGCUGAGGGAGCAAACCGGAUUAGAUACCCGGGUAGUCCCAGCUGUAAACGAUGCAGACUCGGUGAUGAAUUGGCUUAUUGCUAAUUCAGUGCCGCAGGGAAGCCGUUAAGUUUGCCGCCUGGGGAGUACGGUCGCAAGACUGAAACUUAAAGGAAUUGGCGGGGGAGCACCACAAGGGGUGAAGCCUGCGGUUCAAUUGGAGUCAACGCCGGAAAUCUUACCGGGGGCGACAGCAGAGUGAAGGUCAAGCUGAAGACUUUACCAGACAAGCUGAGAGGAGGUGCAUGGCCGUCGCCAGCUCGUGCCGUGAGGUGUCCUGUUAAGUCAGGUAACGAGCGAGAUCCCUGCCUCUAGUUGCUACCAUUAUUCUCAGGAGUAGUGGAGCUAAUUAGAGGGACCGCCGUCGCUGAGACGGAGGAAGGUGGGGGCUACGGCAGGUCAGUAUGCCCCGAAACCCUCGGGCCACACGCGGGCUGCAAUGGUAAGGACAAUGAGUUUCGAUUCCGAAAGGAGGAGGCAAUCUCUAAACCUUACCACAGUUAUGAUUGAGGGCUGAAACUCGCCCUCAUGAAUAUGGAAUCCCUAGUAACCGCGUGUCACUAUCGCGCGGUGAAUACGUCCCUGCUCCUUGCACUCACCGCCC